This is a non-coding RNA of Phascolarctos cinereus (koala), 267 nucleotides long. Lineage: Eukaryota; Metazoa; Chordata; Mammalia; Diprotodontia; Phascolarctidae. The record is from RefSeq and is a predicted model, not a curated record.
CGCACCUGGGCGCCUCGCCGGAUCCUCGGCUUUUCACUCUCUGGGUCCCCGGCUCCGAAACGGGGCUGCCAAAGGCAUGCUGAGCACAAGAUCUGGUUGUUAAACAUUUGCCAGCAUACCCCUGAUGGAGACUGAGAUGCACUGUACAGCACAAUAUGCAUCCAUUUUGUAUACAUUUUCACUUUUGCUGCUGGUAAUAAGGGCGAGUGGUGGAUGGACAGGGAAGGGUCACAAUCUGUGAUUUCAUUCUACCAAUGAAGACAGGCA